GGAGAGGUGGCCGAGUGGUUGAAGGCGCUCGCCUGGAAAGCGGGUGUACUGUAACAGGUACCGUGAGUUCGAAUCUCAUCCUCUCCGCCA
RNAcentral lists this transfer RNA (90 nucleotides) under Alphaproteobacteria bacterium. RNAcentral describes it as "tRNA-Ser". It matches the Rfam family "tRNA". Rfam says of the family: Transfer RNA (tRNA) molecules are approximately 80 nucleotides in length. Their secondary structure includes four short double-helical elements and three loops (D, anti-codon, and T loops). RNAcentral also lists the same sequence under 1 other name. Lineage: Bacteria; Pseudomonadati; Pseudomonadota; Alphaproteobacteria. The record is from RNAcentral.